GAUCGUAUGUCCACGCACACGUCACGAGUGAAUUUAUCUGAAAAUCGUACGGACGAGAUGAUAUAGGACACGAUUUUACAACCUGCAGAUUUCCGAAGCAAUCGCACGAAGUUCCGCGCCAAAAACAUGGAGUCAGAGGAAGAGAUUGCUUUUUUUGUGGCAGCAAUGGCUAGCGAAAGAAUAAAAAAGAAAAGAAAAAGUAGGGCAUGGCAAAGAGUUUGGCUGAGGAGCAGAGAAAAGAAUGGACUUUCUAUUCUUCAAAAACAGCUUGAGAUGAAUGACGUGACAGGCUUCAGGGAGAUGUUACGGGUAACUGUAGAUGAGUUUUAUGAGUUACUGGCCAUGGUUGAGCCUUUGAUCACCAAAACAGACACAGUCAUGAGAAGGAGCAUCAGUGCCAAAGAGAGACUGUCAGUGACAUUAAGGUUUCUGGCCACAGGUAAAACAUUUAAGUCACUUGGCUUUCAGUUUCGCAUGGGAAGCACAACAUUGGCAAAAUUGUGGAAGAAACUUGUGAAGUCCUACACCACACUUUGAAGGAGGAUUAUUU
Molecule: long non-coding RNA, 550 nt
Organism: Carassius carassius (crucian carp)
Lineage: Eukaryota; Metazoa; Chordata; Actinopteri; Cypriniformes; Cyprinidae
Exons: 3
Source: RefSeq, a predicted model, not a curated record